Molecule: ribosomal RNA, 909 nt
Filed under: uncultured bacterium
Lineage: Bacteria
Description: bacterial SSU rRNA
Rfam family: Bacterial small subunit ribosomal RNA
Source: RNAcentral
AGAGUUUGAUCAUGGCUCAGGAUGAACGCUAGCGGCAGGCCUAAUACAUGCAAGCUGAACGGUAAAUAUUGUAGCAAUACAAUAUGAGAGUAGCGUAAGGGUGCGUAACACGUAUGCAAUCUGCCCUGUACAGGAGGAUAGCUCGGCGAAAGCCGGAUUAAUACUUCGUAAUAUUAAUGAGUGGCAUCACUUGAUAAUUAAAGUCGCAAGAUGGUACAGGAUGAGCAUGCGUCUGAUUAGCUAGUUGGUAGUGUAACGGACUACCAAGGCGAUGAUCAGUAGGGGAACUGAGAGGUUGAUCCCCCACACUGGCGCUGAGAUACGGGCCAGACUCCUACGGGAGGCAGCAGUAGGGAAUAUUGGUCAAUGGGUGAGAGCCUGAACCAGCCAUGCCGCGUGCAGGAAGAAGGCCUUCUGGGUUGUAAACUGCUUUUGCCGGGGGAUAAAAUUCCCAUGCGUGGGACAUUGAAGGUACCCGGUGAAUAAGCCACGGCUAACUACGUGCCAGCAGCCGCGGUAAUACGUAGGUGGCAAGCGUUGUCCGGAUUUAUUGGGUUUAAAGGGUGCGUAGGCGGCCUAUUAAGUCAGUGCUGAAAUAUCCCGGCUUAACCGGGAGGGUGGCAUUGAUACUGAUGGGCUUGAGUAGAGUCGAGGUAGGCGGAAUUGACGGUGUAGCGGUGAAAUGCUUAGAUAUCGUCAAGAACACCGAUAGUGUAGACAGUUUACUAGACUCAAACUGACGCUGAGGCACGAAAGUGUGGGGAUCAAACAGGAUUAGAUACCCUGAUAGUCCACACUGUAAACGUUGAUUACUCGCUGUGUGCGAUAUACAGUACGCGGCUUAGCGAAAGCGAUAAGUAAUCCACCUGGGGAGUACGCCCGGCACGGUGAAACUCAAGGAAUUGACGG